GGAGAGAUGCCUGAGUGGCCGAAAGGGGCACACUGCUAAUGUGUUGACUGAGUAAAAUCGGUCCGUGGGUUCGAAUCCCACUCUCUCCG
Molecule: transfer RNA, 89 nt
Filed under: Candidatus Moraniibacteriota bacterium
Lineage: Bacteria; Candidatus Moraniibacteriota
Description: Candidatus Moranbacteria bacterium tRNA-Ser
Rfam family: tRNA
About the family: Transfer RNA (tRNA) molecules are approximately 80 nucleotides in length.
Source: RNAcentral